GUGAGUCAUCGAAUCUUUGAACGCAACUUGCGCCACUCUGUGGCAUGUCUGUUUGAGCACCACAUAACCUCUGUCGCAAGACGAACUGCCCAGUUUGACGCCUGGGUCAAAUCGAGUGUACUGUUACAUUGGAGUGGUUUAGUAGUGAACCGAGCUAGAGGUGGGUCGUGGGUGGUAGAGGAGGGUUGGUCUUAAAAACCACCAGAAUCUACCGCACACACCAGAUCUUGUCGGAACCGCCGCCAACCACCCCAACUCACACUGGUCUCAAAUCAGGCAAGACUACCCGCUGAACUUAAGCAUAUCAAUAAGCGGAGG
RNAcentral lists this ribosomal RNA (318 nucleotides) under uncultured fungus. RNAcentral's name for it is "eukaryotic LSU rRNA". The stretch from base 263 to 318 matches the Rfam family "Eukaryotic large subunit ribosomal RNA", at positions 1 to 56 of the family's 3401-position model. Lineage: Eukaryota; Fungi. The record is from RNAcentral.